GCAAACGAUAAAUCGGGAUUACUGGGCGUAAAGCGCGCGUAGGCGGCUAGGUAAGAUGGGUGUGAAAUCCCCGGGCUCAACCUGGGAACUGCAUCCAUAACUGCCUGGCUAGAGUACAGUAGAGGGUGGUGGAAUUUCCUGUGUAGCGGUGAAAUGCGUAGAUAUAGGAAGGAACACCAGUGGCGAAGGCGACCACCUGGACUGAUACUGACGCUGAGGUGCGAAAGCGUGGGAAGCAAACAGGAUUAGAUACCCUGGUAGUCCACGCCGUAAACGAUGUCAACUAGCCGU
Molecule: ribosomal RNA, 291 nt
Filed under: Pseudomonas sp.
Lineage: Bacteria; Pseudomonadati; Pseudomonadota; Gammaproteobacteria; Pseudomonadales; Pseudomonadaceae
Description: partial 16S ribosomal RNA
Rfam family: Bacterial small subunit ribosomal RNA
Source: RNAcentral